UCGGGAAUUUUGGGCAAUGGGCGAAAGCCUGACCCAGCAACGCCGCGUGAAGGAUGAAGUAUUUCGGUAUGUAAACUUCGAAAGAAUAGGAAGAAUAAAUGACGGUACUAUUUAUAAGGUCCGGCUAACUACGUGCCAGCAGCCGCGGUAAUACGUAGGUGGCAAGCGUUGUCCGGAUUUACUGGGCGUAAAGAGCCCGCAGGCGGUCCAAUAAGUUCUUGGUGAAAUCUCCUGGCUCAACUGGGAGGGUGCCUGGAAAACUGUUGGACUUGAGGCAGGGAGAGGGGUGUGGAAUUCCCGGUGUAGUGGUGAAAUGCGUAGAUAUCGGGAGGAACACCAGUGGCGAAGGCGGCAUCCUGGCCCUGUCCUGACGCUCAGGGCGAAAGCGUGGGGAGCAAACCGGAUUAGAUACCCCAGUAGUCCCUGAGCGGGCUGGCAAGGCGCAU
Molecule: ribosomal RNA, 446 nt
Filed under: uncultured bacterium
Lineage: Bacteria
Description: bacterial SSU rRNA
Rfam family: Bacterial small subunit ribosomal RNA
Source: RNAcentral